UCCACACACCUCAUCAUGAUGAGGCAUGUGCUAAGAGAGGCAUCCCAUCAUGAUGGGGUGCUAAGGAGAAGGGUGUAUCAACUUCUUUCUCAUGUCUCUCUCUUAAAUCCUGAUGAUCCAAGGGCCCAAAUGCAGUGAACCAAAGCCAAUGGUCCAGAUCUAGGCACCAUCUAAUGGUCCAGAUCAAGGCAUCAUCAUCCAGGAUGCCAUCCAAUGGUCCAGAAGCAAGAUGCCAUCACCGAUGGUCCAGAUUCAGGUGCUGAGCAACGGUCCAGAUCUUUCAUCCAAAGAGACAUCCAGUGGUCCAGAUUCAGGCGCUGACCAAUGGUCCAGAUCCUUCAUCCAGAAAUCCAUCCAAUGGUUCAGAUGAAGGUGCCAACCAGUGGACCAGAUCCUUCAUCCAGGAAACCAUCCAAUGGUCCAGAUGAAGGCGCCAACCAGUGGACCAGAUCCUUCAUCCAGGGAGUGAUCCAAUGGUCCAGAAGUGAAGGCCCUAUCAAACCCAAUCCAAUUGGGUUUAACCAACUUAAAGAAAAUAUUAAACCUAAUCAAAUCAGGUCUAAUUAAAGCCAAAUGGGUUCCAACUCUUGGCU
RNAcentral lists this long non-coding RNA (593 nucleotides) under Phoenix dactylifera (date palm). RNAcentral's name for it is "long non-coding RNA (PDAC_LNC004706)". Lineage: Eukaryota; Viridiplantae; Streptophyta; Magnoliopsida; Arecales; Arecaceae. The record is from RNAcentral.